Molecule: ribosomal RNA, 460 nt
Filed under: uncultured bacterium
Lineage: Bacteria
Description: partial 16S ribosomal RNA
Rfam family: Bacterial small subunit ribosomal RNA
Source: RNAcentral
CCUACGGGUGGCAGCAGUGAGGAAUAUUGGUCAAUGGACGAGAGUCUGAACCAGCCAAGUAGCGUGAAGGAUGACUGCCCUAUGGGUUGUAAACUUCUUUUAUAUGGGAAUAAAACGUUCCACGUGUGGGAUUUUGUAUGUACCAUAUGAAUAAGGAUCGGCUAACUCCGUGCCAGCAGCCGCGGUAAUACGGAGGAUCCGAGCGUUAUCCGGAUUUAUUGGGUUUAAAGGGAGCGUAGGUGGAUUGUUAAGUCAGUUGUGAAAGUUUGCGGCUCAACCGUAAAUUUGCAGUUGAAACUGGCAGUCUUGAGUACAGUAGAGGUGGGCGGAAUUCGUGGUGUAGCGGUGAAAUGCUUAGAUAUCACGAAGAACUCCGAUUGCGAAGGCAGUUCACUGGACUGCAACUGACACUGAGGCUCGAAAGUGUGGGUAUCAAACAGGAUUAGAUACCCCAGUAGUC